RNAcentral lists this ribosomal RNA (265 nucleotides) under uncultured archaeon. RNAcentral describes it as "partial 16S ribosomal RNA". It matches the Rfam family "Archaeal small subunit ribosomal RNA", at positions 717 to 982 of the family's 1478-position model. The record is from RNAcentral.
AGUCACUGACAUUAGAUACCCGUGUAGUCCCAGCCGUAAACUAUGCGCGUUAGGCGUACUGGUGACCACGAGUCACCGGGGUGCCGAAGGGAAACCGUGAAACGUGCCGCCUGGGAAGUACGGUCGCAAGGCUGAAACUUAAAGGAAUUGGCGGGGGAGCACCGCAACGGGAGGAGCGUGCGGUUUAAUUGGAUUCAACACCGUAAAACUCACCAGGGAAGACUGUUACAUGAAGGCCGAGAUGAAGACUCUGCCAGAUUUUCAG